AAGUCGUAACAAGGUCUCCGUUGGUGAACCAGCGGAGGGAUCAUUACAGAGUCUCGUGCUCCCAACCCUAUGUGUACCUACCUCUUGCCUGGGCGGCCGCCGCCGCGGGAGACGAUGGGCCCUGCCUGUCCGAGCCUGUAGCGGCCCGCCGAGGGACCAAAAACCAAUGUAGUUUCUGGCAGAGUCUGAGCUUGUGGGAAUGGAAUGUAAGUCAAAACUUUCAACAACGGAUCUCUUGGUUCUG
This 244-nucleotide unclassified non-coding RNA is filed under the name fungal sp. Its description in RNAcentral is "partial internal transcribed spacer region". The stretch from base 1 to 46 matches the Rfam family "Eukaryotic small subunit ribosomal RNA", at positions 1786 to 1831 of the family's 1831-position model. The record is from RNAcentral. Lineage: Eukaryota; Fungi.